CAAGUCGAACGCGAAAGUCCCCUUCGGGGGACAAGUAGAGUGGCGCACGGGUGAGUAACACGUAGGUAAUCUACCUUCGGGUGGGGAAUAACAACCGGAAACGGUUGCUAAUACCGCAUAAUGCAGCGGCACCUAAUGGUGACAGUUGUUAAAGCGGGGGAUCGCAAGAUCUCGCGCCUGAAGAGGAGCCUGCGGCGGAUUAGCUAGUUGGUAGGGUAAUGGCCUACCAAGGCGACGAUCCGUAGCCGGCCUGAGAGGGCGGUCGGCCACACUGACACUGACAUACGGGUCAGACUCCUACGGGAGGCAGCAGUCGGGAAUUUUGGGCAAUGGGCGAAAGCCUGACCCAGCAACGCCGCGUGAAGGAUGAAAUCCCUCGGGAUGUAAACUUCGCAAGAACGGGAAGAAUUAGUGGAAGUUAAUACCUUCCAUGAUGACGGUACCGUUUGUAAGCUCCGGCUAACUCCGUGCCAGCAGCCGCGGUAAUACGGGGGGAGCAAGCGUUGUUCGGAUUUACUGGGCGUAAAGGGCGCGUAGGCGGCGUCCGCAAGUCAGUUGUGAAAUCUCCGAGCUUAACUCGGAAAGGUCAACUGAUACUGCGGGGCUAGAGUGCGGAAGGGGCAACUGGAAUUCUUGGUGUAGCGGUGAAAUGCGUAGAUAUCAAGAGGAACACCUGCGGCGAAGGCGGGUUGCUGGGCCGACACUGACGCUG
This 712-nucleotide ribosomal RNA is filed under the name uncultured soil bacterium. RNAcentral describes it as "bacterial SSU rRNA". It matches the Rfam family "Bacterial small subunit ribosomal RNA", at positions 58 to 748 of the family's 1533-position model. The record is from RNAcentral.